RNAcentral lists this ribosomal RNA (1372 nucleotides) under uncultured bacterium. Its description in RNAcentral is "bacterial SSU rRNA". It matches the Rfam family "Bacterial small subunit ribosomal RNA", at positions 28 to 1381 of the family's 1533-position model. The record is from RNAcentral.
GAUGAACGCUGGCGGCGUGCCUAAUACAUGCAAGUCGAGCGAACGGACGAGAAGCUUGCUUCUCUGAUGUUAGCGGCGGACGGGUGAGUAACACGUGGAUAACCUACCUAUAAGACUGGGAUAACUUCGGGAAACCGGAGCUAAUACCGGAUAAUAUUUUGAACCGCAUGGUUCAAAAGUGAAAGACGGUCUUGCUGUCACUUAUAGAUGGAUCCGCGCUGCAUUAGCUAGUUGGUAAGGUAACGGCUUACCAAGGCAACGAUGCAUAGCCGACCUGAGAGGGUGAUCGGCCACACUGGAACUGAGACACGGUCCAGACUCCUACGGGAGGCAGCAGUAGGGAAUCUUCCGCAAUGGGCGAAAGCCUGACGGAGCAACGCCGCGUGAGUGAUGAAGGUCUUCGGAUCGUAAAGCUCUGUUAUUAGGGAAGAACAUAUGUGUAAGUAACUGUGCACAUCUUGACGGUACCUAAUCAGAAAGCCACGGCUAACUACGUGCCAGCAGCCGCGGUAAUACGUAGGUGGCAAGCGUUAUCCGGAAUUAUUGGGCGUAAAGCGCGCGUAGGCGGUUUUUUAAGUCUGAUGUGAAAGCCCACGGCUCAACCGUGGAGGGUCAUUGGAAACUGGAAAACUUGAGUGCAGAAGAGGAAAGUGGAAUUCCAUGUGUAGCGGUGAAAUGCGCAGAGAUAUGGAGGAACACCAGUGGCGAAGGCGACUUUCUGGUCUGUAACUGACGCUGAUGUGCGAAAGCGUGGGGAUCAAACAGGAUUAGAUACCCUGGUAGUCCACGCCGUAAACGAUGAGUGCUAAGUGUUAGGGGGUUUCCGCCCCUUAGUGCUGCAGCUAACGCAUUAAGCACUCCGCCUGGGGAGUACGACCGCAAGGUUGAAACUCAAAGGAAUUGACGGGGACCCGCACAAGCGGUGGAGCAUGUGGUUUAAUUCGAAGCAACGCGAAGAACCUUACCAAAUCUUGACAUCCUUUGACAACUCUAGAGAUAGAGCCUUCCCCUUCGGGGGACAAAGUGACAGGUGGUGCAUGGUUGUCGUCAGCUCGUGUCGUGAGAUGUUGGGUUAAGUCCCGCAACGAGCGCAACCCUUAAGCUUAGUUGCCAUCAUUAAGUUGGGCACUCUAAGUUGACUGCCGGUGACAAACUGGAGGAAGGUGGGGAUGACGUCAAAUCAUCAUGCCCCUUAUGAUUUGGGCUACACACGUGCUACAAUGGACAAUACAAAGGGCAGCGAAACCGCGAGGUCAAGCAAAUCCCAUAAAGUUGUUCUCAGUUCGGAUUGUAGUCUGCAACUCGACUACAUGAAGCUGGAAUCGCUAGUAAUCGUAGAUCAGCAUGCUACGGUGAAUACGUUCCCGGGUCU